UUCAAUUAAGGUUGUCCACGAGCAAAGCGGAAAAGUCGAAUACAAGUGCGAAAAGCUGCUCGUAUUCGACUUUUCAGCUUUGCUCGUGGACAACUUUAAUUGAAAAGCUGUA
RNAcentral lists this microRNA precursor (112 nucleotides) under Paramuricea clavata. The record is from RNAcentral. Lineage: Eukaryota; Metazoa; Cnidaria; Anthozoa; Malacalcyonacea; Plexauridae.